GAUGAACGCUAGCGGCAGGCCUAACACAUGCAAGUCGAGGGGUAUAAAAGAGCUUGCUUUUUAGAGACCGGCAAACGGGUGCGGAACACGUACGCAAUCUGCCCUUAUCACGGGGAUAGCCCAGAGAAAUUUGGAUUAAUACCCGAUAGUAUUAUAAUAAGGCAUCUUGUUGUAAUUAAAGCUAUGGCGGAUAAGGAUGAGCGUGCGCAAGAUUAGCUAGUUGGUGAGGUAACGGCUCACCAAGGCGACGAUCUUUAGCUGAUGUGAGAGCAUGAUCAGCCACACGGGCACUGAGACACGGGCCCGACUCCUACGGGAGGCAGCAGUGAGGAAUAUUGGUCAAUGGACGGAA
This 352-nucleotide ribosomal RNA is filed under the name uncultured bacterium. RNAcentral's name for it is "bacterial SSU rRNA". It matches the Rfam family "Bacterial small subunit ribosomal RNA", at positions 28 to 380 of the family's 1533-position model. The record is from RNAcentral.